UAUUAAAGGAGAUCGUGAGCUGGCUUUAGACCGUCGUGAGACAGGUCGGUUACUAUCUGUUAGGGGUGUAUGAAGUCUGAGGGUAAGCUGCUUUUAGUACGAGAGGAACAAAGCAGCGGUGCCUCUGGUCGAUCGGUUGUCUGGCAAGGCAUUGCCGAGCAGCUAUGCACUAAAGGUUAAAGACUGAAAGCAUCUAAGUCUGAAACCACACCUAAAAAGAGACUUCGUAAAAGACGCUUGUAAAAGACAAGAUUGAUAGAGUCGGGGUGUACGCACCAAGGCAACGAGGUGUUUAGCUCGCGACUACUAAAGUCUGU
This 317-nucleotide ribosomal RNA is filed under the name Syntrophaceae bacterium. RNAcentral's name for it is "partial 23S ribosomal RNA". It matches the Rfam family "Archaeal large subunit ribosomal RNA", at positions 2655 to 2974 of the family's 2987-position model. Lineage: Bacteria; Pseudomonadati; Thermodesulfobacteriota; Syntrophia; Syntrophales; Syntrophaceae. The record is from RNAcentral.